RNAcentral lists this ribosomal RNA (703 nucleotides) under uncultured Pseudomonadota bacterium. RNAcentral's name for it is "bacterial SSU rRNA". It matches the Rfam family "Bacterial small subunit ribosomal RNA", at positions 71 to 749 of the family's 1533-position model. The record is from RNAcentral. Lineage: Bacteria; Pseudomonadati; Pseudomonadota.
AAGGAACCUUCGGGUUCUGAGUAGAGCGGCGCACGGGUGAGUAACACGUGGGUAACCUACCCUCGAGCGGGGGAUAACCUUCCGAAAGGAAGGCUAAUACCGCAUGAGACCACGCGCUCUUCGGAGCGAGCGGUCAAAGCUGGCCUCUCCAUGGAAGCUAGCGCUCGAGGAUGGGCCCGCGGUCCAUCAGCUUGAUGGUGAGGUAACGGCUCACCAUGGCGAAGACGGAUAGCUGGCCUGAGAGGGUGGCCAGCCACACUGGCACUGGUACACGGGCCAGACUCCUACGGGAGGCAGCAGUGAGGAAUAUUGGGCAAUGGGCGCAAGCCUGACCCAGCGACGCCGUGUGAGUGAUGAAGGCCUUCGGGUUGUAAAGCUCUGUGGGAGGGGACGAAAAUGGCCGUUCCAAAUAGGCUCGGCCCUUGACGGUACCCUCUUAGCAAGCACCGGCUAACUCUGUGCCAGCAGCCGCGGUAAGACAGAGGGUGCAAACGUUGCUCGGAAUCACUGGGCGUAAAGCGCGUGUAGGCGGGUCGACAAGUCGGGUGUGAAAGCCCUGGGCUCAACCCAGGAUCUGCAUUCGAAACUGUCGGUCUUGAGUGUCGGAGAGAGAGGCGGAAUUCCAGGUGUAGAGGUGAAAUUCGUAGAUAUCUGGAGGAACACCAGUGGCGAAGGCGGCCUCCUGGACGACGACUGACGCUGA